Molecule: long non-coding RNA, 705 nt
Organism: Manacus vitellinus (golden-collared manakin)
Lineage: Eukaryota; Metazoa; Chordata; Aves; Passeriformes; Pipridae
Exons: 3
Source: RefSeq, a predicted model, not a curated record
CAAGUUGCCCAGCAUUUUUACUCAUCGUCCACACAUGCCUGGGCAAGCCAAAUGGUACAUCACUGAUCUCCAGUUUAAUCUCUCUGUGCCACCAGCAUUUUGUCUGUAGAAGAAGUGCUGUAAUGCUGCUUCAACUGUCCUGUUUUAGCUGUGAGGCCUGGCUUUGUCUCACUGUCUUUCCACUGAUGAGCCCAUGCUGUCUUGAGACCUCUCCUUCCUUACAUGCAGAGGUAUUCCUGGAUUUCUCUGAGGACACUUGCAUUGACAGCAACAGAGAUCUGAAGUGUGGUGUUUGCUGCAAAUUAAGGCAAACAAUUGACCUCAGUCCUUGAAAAAGGAGGAAUCUGCUCACCCGUGUUUAACUGCUCUCUGGAUUCUGCACUUUUCUAACCUUCAUUUCCACUUGUAUGACCUGCCCAGAGGUGUGGGCUCACAUGUUACUCCUGCUGACCUGGGCAGGACAUUGUGUGCCUGGCGCGCCGUCCGCACUGACGUGGUUCUUGAAAACCCGAUGUGACUGAGGGCAUCCAGAGCUUGGGGGUGAGUUGUUGCCAGGUCUCCUGGAGCACUACCCAGCAGUGCUGGAAACAGCCUCAGGGAUAAACACUCAUGCAAAUGAUCAGGCAGACCCUUCCUCAAGGAGGGCCUCCCAAGACAAUGUUUGUAGGGCUUAAAGUGGAAAAUUGUUUCACCAAAAAAAUUCCA